ACAAAGGAAGGCUCUGUACCUGAAGAUUCUUUCUCUUGGGUUGUUUUGUUAGCCCUGAUUCUUUGCACAAGUCUUCUCUUUCCUUCUGGAGAGGGUCUGCGUCUUCCCAGGCUGUCUUUUUAUCACUGAAAUGCCUGUAGAAUUCCAGGGCUUUAUCUCGUGUUGCUCUGCCAAGCUGUUUCCUGAAGAGUUCAAGGUCUGUUCUCCUGAAGUGCAGAGGACAAAGUUCAACAUAGCAUUUCUUGUGAGUUCUUGUACUACUUGGACAAAGAAGUUAUCAUCAAAGCUUUCCAGGAACCUCUUUGAUUUCUGGUGCCCUGCUGUACUGUCCCUCCAGCAGAUGACAGAGUGGUUGAAGUCCCUCAUGAGGAUCAUGUUAUGUGAGUGUGAAGCUGCUACUAUGUGUUUAUAAGUGUUCAUCCACUUGACCUUCCUGGUUGGUUGCCUGUGGCAGACUCUCACUAUGCUGUCUCUUUCCCCUGCCUUCCCUUAACCCUCAUCCGUAAGUGCUAUCAUCAGUCUUAGCUUAUCAUCAAUCCCCAGAUUGAGCUCUAUGGUCUCCAACUGGUGGCUGAUGUAGAGGGCAACACUCCCUUCCCUUCUCCUCCACUUGUCUUUCAUAAAGAGUACAUGUCUAUUCCUAUAUUCCAGAUGUGAGAGCCAUCUCACCACAUCUCAGUCAUACCAAUCAGUAGGUACACCUGCAACUCUCCUUGCUUGUUCCCCAUGCUCCAUGCAAUAAUGUACUGACGUUUGAGUUGGGCUCUUAUUGAAGCUGAUUACCAAUUGGAGUUCCGUUACCCUUCACCUUAGAUAAUGUC
Molecule: long non-coding RNA, 821 nt
Organism: Lagopus muta (rock ptarmigan)
Lineage: Eukaryota; Metazoa; Chordata; Aves; Galliformes; Phasianidae
Exons: 3
Source: RefSeq, a predicted model, not a curated record